AUUUACCUUUAGUCAUAAAUCUCUGAAGUAAUCUUAUGUUAAUACACUUAAAAUUGCAAGGAAUGAUCAUAUUUCUUAAAACGGAGGGUACCAAGCUAUAAAUUCUUACUGAAUAAACGUAAUUUAGACUUUGUUCAGAACACAUAAAUGAGAACUAGUAGCGUGUUGGUGUAUUUUUAUUCAGAGGGUAGCGUGUUGGUGUAUUUUUAUUCGGAGGGUUGUGAAAGGCUGUAAUGACACCGCCUUGUCAAACAAUCAUAAAUGACUUCACUGAACACGACCUUUUUGCACCAACCCCUACUGGAGCCAAACACUCACAGUGGAGCUAGCUUGGCAUUUGGGAAGUGAGAUGACAGCAGCGUCCUUCUUUCACACAUGUUCAUUUAAAAUCUAUGGAAAAUAAAGACAGUAUAAAGAAGAAAAUAAACACAACCUGUAAAAAGCACUAUCAACAUUAUGGUAUACUGUUUCCCUCACUAUCAAAAGGUCAACAGAUGGAGACCAUCCUGGUCAACACAGUGAAACCCCGUCUCUACUAAAAAUAUAAAAAUUAGCUGGGCGUCGUGGUACGCGCCUGUAGUCCCAGCUAUCUAAACAUUAUCCAUCCAUAUCCAAAUGGUACUUGAAGUAACCACCUUCGCACACCUAUGCUGACUGCGCUCUCCAGCGAGAGCUAAGCUCGUGCUGCCUGGUCAUGAUGACCUGCAAGACUGAAAGGGGCAGUGAUCCUAGUUCUAGUUUCAUAGAAAAAACUGGACUGAAAAGAUGAGGCCAAGACAGAAAGAAAAAUGGAGACAGAAGAUAAAAAGGGAGAAUCCUGAAGAUAUCUGAGUUACUGGUUCCAGCUGUCCCUGAAAUCGGACGUUCCUGCCAUUCCCAUACUUGGGUAACACCCAUACAGCGCUAUCUUCAAUUAUUUCACUUAAGCUUAGCGUGAGGUUCGCUUUUUGCCAUUUCUAAAGCCAGAGUCCUGAUAGACGCACAAGCACAAACUCAGCGAAUAAUUCCAUCUGGCCCAGGCCCUUAUCAUUUUCUUUACUGGAUUGCUGUCACUGCUACCAGGUACUCUCUUUGCCCUGACUCUCUUCCUGCUCUGCACCUGUCCUGAAAACUCAUGACUUCCAAAUGCAAAUGCAACCACAAGCCUCUUUCUUCAAUGGCUAUAAACUGCCUAUGGGCCGGAAGCUCCUGUGUGCCCUGUCACCGGCCCCGUCCCCAGCAUCUCCUCCUGCCCUGUCCCCCUCACAGCUCUCUCCAGUGACAUCCUACUGUGUGCAGACCCCCCAGCAUGCACAGGUGUCUUCUCCUUCUCUGGACGGCCCCUUCUCUGAGAAACAUCUGUAUCCACAGCUAGUUCCCAACUGCCUGGCACUCCAAGUGUCAUCUCAGUGGAAGGGUUUCCUGACUCCUCCCCUGGUGGGGGCUGUCCCUCUUCUGUGCUCCUCCAUCACCCUUGCACAAGCUACCUGCUCUCAUUACACUCCACUGCAAUCUUCAGUUUACUCACCUCAACUGUGAGCUUCUUAAAGACAAGCAUUCUAUUCUGUCUCUCUAGUGUCUCGCCAGUGUCUAACACAGUAUAUAACACAUGAUAGGUGUUCAAUCAACAUUUUCUGCAGGGAGAGGGAGGGGAGCAGGGCUAUUCCACAGUUUAAACAGGAAGGUAUCUUUACAUUUACACAUGUAGGACAUAAUGAACCUGAUUCUCUUAUUGCUUCUGCCAUAAUUCCAGAGUCUCAGGAAUGAUUAAAUGCUUCCACUGAUACAUUUAUUUUUCAAGGACUUGCAUACUAAUAAGAAUAAAGGUAAUACCACAGAUGCCAGUUCAGAACAAAGAAAUUAUCUGGUCACACUAGGCAGCUUGUCUCUCUUCUGACACGUAUUAGGGUUCUUCUCUGCCUUCAUGUUUGUAGGGACCUCUGUAUACACUUUUACCUCUAUAAUCAGAGCUGUAGCAAAUAGAGGAGGGAUGUGAGAAGGAUAAAAACUUUCUGUUGUGACAGAGAGAGUAUCAAAUUCAAUAUAUUCAGUCUAUGUAAGAAUGAAAAACACUGGAACAAUAUAGAGAUAUGUAUAUCAUCUUCUGAAAUCAACUCCUUUUUGCAGAAAUGACUUAUUUGCAUUAAAAAUGACUUAUCCCACAUCGUUCCACAUCAUGUUUGGGCUUUACUUCAGAAUUGAUAGAGCUAUUUCACAGAAGGAUAAUGUUCAUACUUCUGUUUGAGGACACUCAUACUGAAACCUCUUGGAUUACAAUUUCUCUUUAGCUCCCAUCUCGACUCGGAAGUGUAGUGACAUUUAAGAAGUAAGGCAGAGCCACUUCCUAAAAUUUCACACUCAGCUGGGCGUUGGGGCUCAUGCCUGUAAUCCCAGCACCUUGGGAGGCCGAGGCGGACGGAUCACGAGAUCAGGAGUUCGAGACCAUCCUGGCUAACACAGUGAAACCCCGUCUCUACUAAAAAUACAAAAAUUAGACAGGCGUGGUGGCGGGCGCCUGUAGUCCCAGCUGCUCGGGAGGCUGAGGCAGGAGAAUGGCGUGAAUCUGGGAGGCAGAGCUUGCAGUGAGCCGAGAUGGCGCCACUGCACGCUAGCCUGGGCGACAGAGCCAG
This 2609-nucleotide long non-coding RNA is filed under the name Homo sapiens (human). RNAcentral describes it as "non-protein coding lnc-FOXC1-10:1". The record is from RNAcentral. Lineage: Eukaryota; Metazoa; Chordata; Mammalia; Primates; Hominidae.